ACAGCAGCAGCCACGGUAAUACGUAGGGUGCAAGCGUUAAUCGGAAUUACUGGGCGUAAAGCGUGCGCAGGCGGUUAUAUAAGACAGAUGUGAAAUCCCCGGGCUCAACCUGGGAACUGCAUUUGUGACUGUAUAGCUAGAGUACGGCAGAGGGGGAUGGAAUUCCGCGUGUAGCAGUGAAAUGCGUAGAUAUGCGGAGGAACACCGAUGGCGAAGGCAAUCCCCUGGGCCUGUACUGACGCUCAUGCACGAAAGCGUGGGGAGCAAACAGGAUUAGAUACCCCUGUAGUCCCUGUCUCUUAUAC
RNAcentral lists this ribosomal RNA (305 nucleotides) under uncultured bacterium. RNAcentral's name for it is "partial 16S ribosomal RNA". It matches the Rfam family "Bacterial small subunit ribosomal RNA", at positions 505 to 807 of the family's 1533-position model. The record is from RNAcentral.